GCCGGAGUGGUGGAAUUGGCAGACACGAAGGAUUCAAAAUCCUUUGGGACUAACGUCCCGUGGGGGUUCGAGUCCCCCCUCCGGUA
This 86-nucleotide transfer RNA is filed under the name Fuerstiella marisgermanici. RNAcentral's name for it is "Fuerstia marisgermanicae tRNA". It matches the Rfam family "tRNA". Rfam says of the family: Transfer RNA (tRNA) molecules are approximately 80 nucleotides in length. Their secondary structure includes four short double-helical elements and three loops (D, anti-codon, and T loops). Further hydrogen bonds mediate the characteristic L-shaped molecular structure. tRNAs have two regions of fundamental functional importance: the anti-codon, which is responsible for specific mRNA codon recognition, and the 3' end, to which the tRNAs corresponding amino acid is attached (by aminoacyl-tRNA synthetases). tRNAs cope with the degeneracy of the genetic code in two manners: having more than one tRNA (with a specific anti-codon) for a particular amino acid; and 'wobble' base-pairing, i.e. permitting non-standard base-pairing at the 3rd anti-codon position. Lineage: Bacteria; Pseudomonadati; Planctomycetota; Planctomycetia; Planctomycetales; Planctomycetaceae. The record is from Rfam by way of RNAcentral.